UGGGAAAAAACACACAAACUGGAAUGUAACAAGACCUAACCAGUAACAAGACCUCGACCAGGACACAAACUCAACACUAGGGACUCUGAAACUGAAAUAUGCAAAGGCUAUGGCGCGGAUGGGUUGUAGGACAUGAAAACAAUAUGGCAAUAGACUUAUGGGACGCACACAAGGACACUUCAAACUAAGGGUAGAUGUGAACCUAACGAUAUGUCUGAAGCUUUGAUUACCACUUCAGGAGAACAAGUGUGGCCCGAUCUUCCGAAACUUUCUGGUAACUAUCGAUUUGGUGGAAACGAGAGACAUAUAAAUCCAGCUUGCGAACAACACAAUUCGAAACCCUGCAAUUCUUUUUAUUUUUUUUGAUAUUUUUCUUUUACUAAGGAGCACUCAAGAAGUAACCACAGGAAAUUUGAGCUUAAACAAGUGAAAGACGUGGCCUGUUGAAUUUUUUGAAGAUUGUGAAAAAUAUGAAAAAAAUUUAGGAGGUGAAAACUCAAACUUCAGAGGCGAAUUUGGGGAUUCUAAAAUUGUCGAACCCGCCGUUGGCGGGAUAGACAGAUCCAAAAAAAUUUUCUGAUCGAUUUUGAUAUAUGGAACGUCAAAAUUGGAGUUCGUAUGCGAAAGUUAUGGCUGUUUUACGAACGGACUCCGAAUUAGAGGACAAAACGGUCCGGAAGUGGGAAAAAUUUGCGAUGGUGGCUAGAAAUUGAUGGAAAUAGUGGGAAAAAACAGACAAACUGGACUGUAACAAGACCUAACCAGUAACAAGACCUCGACCAGGACACAAACUCAACACUACGGACUCUGAAACUGAAAUAUGCAAAGGCUAUGGCGCGGAUGGGUUGUAGGACAUGAAAACAAUAUGGCACUAGACUUAUGCGACGAACACAAGCACACUUGAAACUAAGGGUAGAUGUGAACCUAACGGCAUGUCUGAAGCAUUGAUUACCACUUGAGGAGAACAAGUGUGGCCUGAUAUUCCGAAAGUUUCUGGUAACUAUCGAUUUGGUGGAAACGAGAGACAUAUCAAUCCAGUUUGCGAACAACACAAUUUGAAACCCUACAAUUCUUUUUUUUCAUAUUUUUCUUUUACUUAGGAGCAAUCAAGAAGUAACCACAAGAAAUUUGAGCUUAAACAAGUGAAAGACGUGGCCUGUGGAAAUUUUUGAAGAUUGUGAAAAAUAUGAAAAAAAACUUUAGGAGGUGAAAACUCAAACUUCAGAGGCAAAUUUGGGGAUUCUAAAAUUGUCGAACCCGCCGUUGGCGAGGAUAGACAGAUACAAAAAUUGUUUCUGAUCGAUUUGAUUUUGAUAUAUAGAAUGUCAAAAUUGGAGUUCGUAUGCGAAAGUUAUGGCUGUUUUACGAACGGACUCUGAAUUAGAGGACAAAACGGUCCGGAAGUGGGAAAAAAUUGCGGUGGUGGCUAGAAAUUGAUGGAAACAGUGGGAAAAAACACACAAACUGGAAUGUAACAAGACCUAACCAGUAACAAGACCUUGACCAGGACACAAACUCAACACUAGGGACUCUGAAACUGAAAUAUGCAAAGGCUAUGGCGCGGAUGGGUUGUAGGACAUGAAAACAAUAUGGCAAUAGACUUAUGGGACGAACACAAGGACACUUCAAACUAAGGGUAGAUGUGCACCUAACGAUAUGUCUGAAGCUUUGAUUACCACUUCAGGAGAACAAGUGUGGCCCGAUCUUCCGAAAGUUUCUGGUAACUAUCGAUUUGGUGGAAACGAGAGACAUAUCAAUCCAGCUUGCGAACAACACAAUUCGAAACCCUGCAAUUCUUUUUAUUUUUUUUGAUAUUUUUCUUUUACUAAGGAGCACUCAAGAAGUAACCACAGGAAAUUUGAGCUUAAACAAGUGAAACACGUGGCCUGUGGAAUUUUUUGAAGAUUGUGAAAAAUAUGAAAAAAAUUUAGGAGGUGAAAACUCAAACUUCAGAGGCGAAUUGGGGAUUCUAAAAUUGUCGAACCCACCGUUGGCGGGAUAGACAGAUCCAAAAAAAUUUUCUGAUCGAUUUUGAUAUAUGGAACGUCAAAAUUGGAGUUCGUAUGCGAAAGUUAUGGCUGUUUUACGAACGGACUCCGAAUUAGAGGACAAAACGGUCCGGAAGUGGGAAAAAUUUGCGAUGGUGGCUAGAAAUUGAUGGAAAUAGUGGGAAAAAACAGACAAACUGGACUGUAACAAGACCUAACCAGUAACAAGACCUCGACCAGGACACAAACUCAACACUACGGACUCUGAAACAGAAAUAUGCAAAGGCUAUGGCGCGGAUGGGUUGUAGGACAUGAAAACAAUAUGGCACUAGACUUAUGCGACGAACACAAGCACACUUGAAACUAAGGGUAGAUGUGAACCUAACGGCAUGUCUGAAGCAUUGAUUAUCACUUGAGGAGAACAAGUGUGGCCCGAUAUUCCGAAAGUUUCUGGUAACUAUCGAUUUGGUGAAAACGAGAGACAUAUCAAUCCAGUUUGCGAACAACACAAUUCGAAACCCUACAAUUCUUUUUUUUUGAUAUUUUUCUUUUACUUAGGAGCACUCAAGAAGUAACCACAGGAAAUUUGAGCUUAAACAAGUGAAAGACGUGGUCUGUGGAAAUUUUUGAAGAUUGUGAAAAAUAUGAAAAAAAACUUUAGGAGGUGAAAACUCAAACUUCAGAGGCAAAUUUGGGGAUUCUAAAAUUGUCGAACCCGCCGUUGGCGGGGAUAGACAGAUACAAAAAUUGUUUCUGAUCGAUUUGAUUUUGAUAUAUAGAAUGUCAAAAUUGGAGUUCGUAUGCGAAAGUUAUGGCUGUUUUACGAACGGACUCUGAAUUAGAGGACAAAACGGUCCGGAAGUGGGAAAAAAUUGCGGUGGUGGCUAGAAAUUGAUGGAAACAGUGGGAAAAAACACACAAACUGGAAUGUAACAAGACCUAACCAGUAACAAGACCUUGACCAGGACACAAACUCAACACUAGGGACUCUGAAACUGAAAUAUGCAAAGGCUAUGGCGCGGAUAGGUUGUAGGACAUGAAAACAAUAUGGCAAUAGACUUAUGGGACGAACACAAGGACACUUCAAACUAAGGGUAGAUGUGCACCUAACGAUAUGUCUGAAGCUUUGAUUACCACUUCAGGAGAACAAGUGUGGCCCGAUCUUCCGAAAGUUUCUGGUAACUAUCGAUUUGGUGGAAACGAGAGACAUAUUAAUCCAGCUUGCGAACAACACAAUUCGAAACCCUGCAAUUCUUUUUAUUUUUUUUGAUAUUUUUCUUUUACUAAGGAGCACUCAAGAAGUAACCACAGGAAAUUUGAGCUUAAACAAGUGAAAGACGUGGCCUGUGGAAUUUUUUGAAGAUUGUGAAAAAUAUGAAAAAAAUUUAGGAGGUGAAAACUCAAACUUCAGAGGCGAAUUGGGGAUUCUAAAAUUGUCGAACCCGCCGUUGGCGGGAUAGACAGAUCCAAAAAAAUUUUCUGAUCGAUUUUGAUAUAUGGAACGUCAAAAUUGGAGUUCGUAUGCGAAAGUUAUGGCUGUUUUACGAACGGACUCCGAAUUAGAGAACAAAACGGUCCGGAAGUGGGAAAAAUUUGCGAUGGUGGCUAGAAAUUGAUGGAAAUAGUGGGAAAAAACAGACAAACUGGACUGUAACAAGACCUAACCAGUAACAAGACCUCGACCAGGACACAAACUCAACACUACGGACUCUGAAACAGAAAUAUGCAAAGGCUAUGGCGCGGAUGGGUUGUAGGACAUGAAAACAAUAUGGCACUAGACUUAUGUGACGAACACAAGGACACUUGAAACUAAGGGUAGAUGUGAACCUAACGGCAUGUCUGAAGCAUUGAUUACCACUUGAGGAGAACAAGUGUGGCCCGAUAUUCCGAAAGUUUCUGGUAACUAUCGAUUUGUUGGAAACGAGAGACAUAUCAAUCCAGUUUGCGAACAACACAAUUCGAAACCCUACAAUUCUUUUUUUUUGAUAUUUUUCUUUUACUUAGGAGCACUCAAGAAGUAACCACAGGAAAUUUGAGCUUAAACAAGUGAAAGACGUGGCCUGUGGAAAUUUUUGAAGAUUGUGAAAAAUAUGAAAAAAAACUUUAGGAGGUGAAAACUCAAACUUCAGAGGCAAAUUUGGGGAUUCUAAAAUUGUCGAACCCGCCGUUGGCGGGGAUAGACAGAUCCAAAAAUUGUUUCUGAUCGAUUGGAUUUUGAUAUAUAGAACGUCAAAAUUGGAGUUCGUAUGCGAUAGUUAUGGCUGUUUGACGAACGGACUCUGAAUUAGAGGACAACGGUCCGCAAGUGGGAAAAAAUUGCGGUGGUGGCUAGAAAUUGAUGGAAACAGUGGGAAAAAACACACAAACUGGAAUGUAACAAGACCUAACCAGUAACAAGACCUCGACCAGGACACAAACUCAACACUAGGGACUCUGAAACUGAAAUAUGCAAAGGCUAUGGCGCGGAUGGGUUGUAGGACAUGAAAACAAUAUGGCAAUAGACUUAUGGGACGAACACAAGGACACUUCAAACUAAGGGUAGAUGUGAACCUAACGAUAUGUCUAAAGCUUUGAUUACCACUUCAGGAGAACAAGUGUGGCCCGAUCUUCCGAAACUUUCUGGUAACUAUCGAUUUGGUGGAAACGAGAGACAUAUCAAUCCAGCUUGCGAACAACACAAUUCGAAACCCUGCAAUUCUUUUUAUUUUUUUUUGAUAUUUUCCUUUUACUAAGGAGCACUCAAGAAGUAACCACAAGAAAUUUGAGCUUAAACAAGUGAAAGACGUGGCCUGUGGAAUUUUUUGAAGAUUGUGAAAAAUAUGAAAAAAAUUUAGGAGGUGAAAACUCAAACUUCAGAGGUGAAUUUGGGGAUUCUAAAAUUGUCGAACCCGCCGUUGGCGGGAUAGACAGAUCCAAAAAAAUUUUCUGAUCGAUUUUGAUAUAUGGAACGUCAAAAUUGGAGUUCGUAUGCGAAAGUUAUGGCUGUUUUACGAACGGACUCCGAAUUAGAGGACAAAACGGUCUGGAAGUGGGAAAAAUUUGCGAUGGUGGCUAGAAAUUGAUGGAAAUAGUGGGAAAAAACAGACAAACUGGACUGUAACAAGACCUAACCAGUAACAAGACCUCGACCAGGACACAAACUCAACACUACGGACUUUGAAACUGAAAUAUGCAAAGGCUAUGGCGCGGAUGGGUUGUAGGACAUGAAAACAAUAUGGCACUAGACUUAUGCGACGAAUGUUGACGGUCCUUAAUGCUCACAUUUAACCAUCAACUAAUCAUAGAAAAGGAUCCAAAUUGCAACCAACACCUAGACUUAGGGUUUUAUCUGACAGAAUUCCACGAGUUUUGGUGUUAGUCUAUUUCUGCAGGGGGUUAUCAGGAAAUACGGAAGAAAGGCCCACACGUCGGGUUUACAUAGAGAUAUUAACGUGCCGCGCAAUUUUCUAUCAUCUAGAAGACUCCAGAAGCCACGGGAACGAACGGGAAGGAAAUCGGGCUCGGAGGCAGGGCGCCCGCUCAAUUCUCCUAGGCGCCCGCCCAGCUACAGUGCCCAAUCAGGACUCUCUUUCGGGACAACGCUCCACCGACCUAAAGGAUCAAGGAAAACCGUGCGAUUAAUGUCGGUUUGAUCCAACGGCCCAUAUUCACUUGAAGGGACUAUAAAACCAGACCCCCUGGCCCCUGGAAAUCAUACCUCUUCUACAGAAUCAAAGCUAGGGUUUCAAUUCUUCAUCCAAGUAGAGAGGAUCCCUCUAGUUCUUCUAGUUCUACCUCUAGUUCAUCUAGAUCUAGUUCUAGUUCAUCUAGUUCUAGUUCUAGUUCCUCUAGUUCUAGUUCUAGUUAGUUCUAGUUGUAAUCUAGAAAAUAGGGAGAGAGAAGAGGAGAGCGGAGGAGGAGCCGGAUCUGUCGGAUCUUCCUCAACAUUAUACUUUUGCAGCAUCUGGUUCGUUCUUCAUCAUUCUCCAGGUUCUUCAAUUCAUAAUUCCUGAGUUCUUUAAUUACUUUUAUUUACAUUCAAGUUAUUUAUUGGAUUCUCGCUUGCAUCAAGUGCUCUAGUCUUUAUAACGCUAGAGUAGUAAUUAAUAGAUUAGACGUGGUGUUUAGUCUUGCAAUUACCUGAAAUUGCACCCAAUCCUGCGGAUUGUUGUGGUAGCCUUAGGGUAGUGACAGCCCUAACGGUCGACGUAUUCCACCACGUUCGGAUCGGUGUUUGUAGGAUCGUAGUCAGACCUUCCUAGCCCCCUUCUCAUCUCUUUCUGUGGUUAGUGCUCUGAUGUCCCGAUAUAGAUAAUCUUGAAGUAAUUCUUGAUUCUUAGAUCAACUAGAGAACUCUCAGGAAACUUCCUCUCUUCCCACCAAAAAUAAUGAUAUAGUUAUCCUUGGGCGAUCUUGGAUCUUAAUUAGUACACUCACGUUCCCUGUGGAAAAUCGAUACUCUGGAAUACUCCCGGGUGAAAGCUACAUCGGUAUCCGUGCGCUUGCAGAUUUUUCUGUUUGUGUUUAAAAUACCCAACAAGCUUUCUGGCGCCGUUGCCGGGGAACGGUAGCUGUGCUAGUUUCGACCCAAGUCGUCCGUGUAUCCUUUUUGCUUUUCCUUUUUUACCACACUCACCUUAUCAUUUUCACCGUACCACGUGGAUUUCACUCUAAGCAUUAAUAAGCAUGGAAUUUAUUUCAUAGCCACUUCAUUUACUCCAUGCUCAUAUGCAACAUCUUCACAAUCCAUUGGUCUCUCCAACAUCACCACAUUCGAGAUCUCCAACCCCCUAUUCCUUUCUAUUCAUAAAAACUUUAAAAGGGCGGUUGUCGAUGCAUAUGUCUAUAAUAAAUUUUGCAGAUCUCGUUGAGUUGAUCUUGAUAUAGGUCAGCGUUGGAGGGGAAACCACUUCACUGACAUAAAUUGAUGGUUUCCCAAGGACAAGCUUAGUGUCCUAAAAUAAAGCACUGAUUAGAUCGUAACAUGAGCUUUUAAUUAUUUGCAACAUUAACUUGUGUAUUGAGCAUAUAAGGAUAAUUGUAAAAAAAUUCCUUUGGGUAUUCUUGUCACUAACCUUUCCAGGAUUGGAGCAAGAAGAUCGGAUGAAUGACAAGCACAAGGUAUGUACAACCAAUCAUCAUACAACAUUGAAUUAAAUUCAUCCAAACUUGAAUUUUGCAAAAUUCAAGCUUGGGGGAGUACUUUACAUAAAAACAUCCUUUGCCAUGUUGCUAUGUUGGUUGUCCCUACCUUUGAGACAUGCUCAAUUUGUUAAAUACUAAUCACACUACCUCAUCUCCACUUGAGUAGAUCUCUAUAAAUGCUUUCAUACCACCUUUAUUUACUUUAGUAUAUGUCUAGGUUUGGAGUAGUUUCAUUUAUCUCUUAAUUAAGCAUGGUGCUUAGUUUAGGGCUGAUGAUCUUACUUCCAAGGGAGUUUAAAUUAAGCAUGAUGCUUAGGUUAAAAUGCCCUCCUAAAUCAAAUUAGACAUGGUGUCUAGGUUGAUCUUUGAGCCGAUAAUAUGCUAUAGUAGAUAUUGGAUAUUGUGUUGGACUAACCCCUGCAGGAAAACUUUCAAUAUCGACCUGGGAAGUCCUGAGAUAAACUCACAUUGAGACAAAGAGAGAGACACAUGAAGUUUAACAAUUUACACAAGGAAUGCAUAGCUCACAAGAGAUGAUCCAUGGAGGGUGCCACAAACAUGAUGCACAACCGCUAAGAAAGGAAAGCUUACACAAGGUGAUACUAUACCAUCACUCUUCAACUAAGGUAAUAUCUUAAGGUACUUGACUAUCACUUUUAUAAGUUUCUCCUUAGAUCUGGCGUUCACAUGAAUAAAAGAGACAAACAUGUAUGAUCUACAACUCUAGAUUAACCAACCCAAUCGAUUCAACAUGUUUAGUCCUUCCACCUUUGUGAUUCCACACUCCUAAUCAUAUUAGCUAAAAUGUUGCACACUCAAUCUUUGGAAGAUAUAAACAAAACAUAUAUAUAGAUAGAUUAUCUUUCCAUAAGGUUGAGCAAUCUAAUCUAAUAAAUGUUUUAAAUGUUAUACUCAUGAUCUUAUUAUCCAUCAACUUUGUCUUGCUCACUAUGCUUAAGGUUAGAGAAGAACAAAUACACUUUUGGUUCUAUUGGUGUUUUCCACCAACAGGGCCCAUGCACUUGAUCUCUGCCUUGUCUCUAUGAGCAGGUACACUUCGAGCAAAAUAUGAAGGACUUUUACAACUCCCUGACUCCACCAAGUGAAGAACAUAGAUCUACGAGUACAAACACACUGGAGAUACUGGACACUCAGGCAAUCACUGCCCUAGGAUGCUUGAGGACGUAACUAAUGGAGUAACCCCGUUGUGGAAGUAGUUACUGACCUUCUGCCGGUCAAGAGAGACAAUCCAGGACGCCCCGUCAUCCCGAUCUCCAUCGGCAUGGUGGACUUCCCAGAAGCACUCUGCGACUUUGGCUUCAGCGUCAACAUUAUGCCCAGGAACCUCUACGUCUGAGUUGGUACCUUAUACGCUCCAGCAGACUUCGUGGUGAUAGAGACUGAUACUGAUGAGAGGGCACCCAUCAUCUUAGGGAGGCCAUUCCUGAACACCUCGGGAGCUGUCAUCUACGCUAGUGCUGCCAAGAUUAGUCUCUACAUCAAGGGGAGGAAGGAGACGUUUUCCUUCAAGAACAAGACUACACAAAUCUCAGAGCAAUCCCGACAUGAACCAAGGAAGAGGACCAACAGGAGGAACAGGAACAAGCAAAUGUGUACCGAGUCAGCUAAGAUGGUCACUGCAGCUCAAGGAGGUCAAGAUCGUCGACUCAAGUCACCUAUCUUGAUCAAGAAGGACGACCCUGGUGUUCCAAGCAUCGAGUGCACAAUCAACGGAUAUUCUUUUCAGAAGACACUCUACAACACCGGAUCUAACGUUAACAUAAUGGCCGCAGUCACUUAUCAGCUCCUGCAUGGAACCAUGUCCCUACAACCAACAUACAUUCAGCUCUAGAUGAUUUUAAGGUUAUUGACAUGGGAGAAGACAAGUAUGAUCCUCCAUCAUCCUUAGGAGACCGUUCCUCAGCACCGUUAAAGCAAUCAUCUACAUUGGAACCGGAGAAGUCCACAUUCACUUCUCCUCAGAGAAGGUACGCCACUGUUUUACUGACCCUAACUAUAUAGUUGAAGACUCUAAGCAGGUCAGGACAAGAAGACGACGACGCAACCGCAACCAGAGGAGGCAAAUCAUCAAGGACGGAUGGGUAGACUAUGAAGGAGAAGUUGUAAGGUCUGAAGAUAUACAACUUGAACAGAACUGUCCUGAGGAGACCGUAGCAUCGAGUCAGGUGUGGAGAAAAAAGAUAGUUAUACAUGAAGAGCAGGCUCCACCAGAACCACCGACUACGCCAUCCAGCGAAUCCCAGGACUACUGAGAAAAUGGAGAGUCCCGUUCGGAGGACUUAAAAACACCGAACGCCUUGCCAAGAGGUAAACUUGGUAGUUAUCUUUUUCCUUUCAAUUAUUUAAAAUAGUUUUCUUAGUUAAUCAGGUUCACAUCAUCUUGAAAAGAAAAUAAAAAUGUUAAAAAUAGUAAGCCCCAUGUGAGUAUGCUCAUGGCAUAAAACCCAUAAGUACAUUCACUGUGGUGGCGUAAAAAUGAAAUAAAUAUAUUCCUGUCCUAUAAAAAUAAAAAUAUAAAAAUAAAUUUAUGAUCCUACUAAAGAGAGUAAUAUUUAUUGAGGAGGCUCAACAUGAUAAAGGCUAGAUAUUUAUGCUAACACUUAACCAGUUCCACAAAGCAUUGUUGUCUAUUUGAGCUCCACAGAAUUCAAGGAUCAAAGAAGACUAGCAGACGGAGGACAUCCUAAUCACUGUCAGGGUGCUGCCGACAUUCAAAUAUACCUCCGCCACCUGCUAGCUACAUCAGGAGAAACUACGUCAAAAUCCAGCUUGGGGGAGAGCACCCCCAUUUAUCCAGCUAAGUGUUUCUACUCGCAUUAUACUUUACUCAAAUAAUAAAAAGAUGCAUAAUCAUGAAAAUCCAAAUAAAAAUUUUGUGCCUAUAUAUAUCUUUGCUUAGUUUGCUAAAUAAAUAAAUAAAUAAAGAUCGCUAUGAACCCUCAUGAUAAGCUCUCACAUGGAAAUAAUGAAUAGUUGCUCUGCCAUGACUAAUUCUCAAAAUUGAAAUCUCUCUCAAGUUUAGGCAUGACUGUUAUUAAUUAAGAUUUGCUCUAAACCUGAACUUGUGGGAAGAGUACUUGAUCUAAAGUCUAAGUCGUUAACGGAUAUGAUAUGGGAAGGUUGAGCUGCUGUUUAUCUGUUCCUAGAGAUGCUAGAAUUCUGGAGAAUUUUAUCUUUAAAAAUAUUUAAAAUGUUGCAUGAUGAGUUCCUGUAUGAUGAGAGUUUAAAUUCCUACCACAGCCAUAUAUACAUGCUUGUUAGACUAUGAACCACAAAUUUACUUUUUACUGCUUAUGAGCAUUGAGUGUGGUCAAGCUGUGUAGACCCUUAGGAGCUUGUCAUGUGGUUAAAAUCAAGAUUCACUUGCACGUUCACUCAUACAUGCUGCUUCUACUCCGGAAGUACGCAUCCACAUAUAUCCAUCAAUUUCCAUCUCCAGAACCACCCAAAAAUAUUCUUCUCCUAAUCUGGGAGAGAAUAGCCAAAAACAUUCUCCUAUUUCUGUUUUUCCCUGUGAAAUAAAUGCUCAAGUUAUCUUGGUUACUACCACUUGCUAUAUUAUCUCAUGAGAUGAGUGCUCUAAAAAAAAGAGAAAAAAAAGAGAUAUGAGGAAAUAAAAAGGGGCAAGUGCCCGAAACCUCGAAAGAAAAGAAAAAGUGAGAUGAGAGGUAAAAAUGGACAAGUGUCCGACAGUAGAAUUAGGGGUACAAGAUACUCACCUGAGAGAAAAGAAAAAAAAAGAAAAAAAAAGAAAAUAUAGAGCAUCUCAUUCUCCUCAAAAAGUUUCAAAACAGCAAGAAAGGUAUGUAUCCCCUCAAAAGAGCACAAGUAGAAUUAGACUUUCACCAUUGUUAUCACCAUCAUCACCAUACACCAUUCAUUCGCCACACAUGCACAUCUUGAUUUGACUUAUUGACUUGAUCUUCUGGAUCCAUGGUUUGACUAUGCAAUAAAUGUCUUGUAAGUAUGUAUUAGCUGUCUCCCACCUAUGAGCUCCAGAUAUCAAAAGAAAGCCUUAUUAGAGUAGGGUGAGAGAGAAGGCAAUGUCACUAUGCCUUAUACUAAAAAUACCACAUACCUUGAGAGAAGGCAUAUACCAUUACUGCCUUGGUAAGGAUCCAAAAAUACCACAAAAGAGAGACUAGAGAGAGUCAUACAAGGAAUCUCUGAGUUUUAUUUGAAAAUCUGCAAAAACUCCAGAGCUAUUGUUGAUCAAGAACAUUAGACAUGGUGCUUGACUAGACCGUUCUAUCUUUUAACUGCUGAAGACACAAGUGACGGUUACAAGCCCCAUGGUGAAAGGUAAAUGAGUAAGUUUUAAGUCUUAACAAUUUACCCUAACCUAGAGAUGAGUUCUUGUUUAAACGCAUGUGUAUCUUUAAGUUAUGAAACCACUGCAGAAACUCUUGAGUUCAUCUUUGCUCAGGGACGAGCAAAGGUUAAGCUUGGGGGAGCUUGUUGACGGUCCUUAAUGCUCACAUUUAACCAUCAACUAAUCAUAGAAAAUGAUCCAAAUUGCAACCAACACCUAGACUUAGGGUUUUAUCUAACAGAAUUCCACGAGUUUUGGUGUUUGUCUAUUUCUGCAGGGGGUUAUCAGGAAAUACGGAAGAGAGGCCCACACGUCGGGUUUACAUAGAGAUAUUAACGUGCCGCGCAAUUUUCUAUCAUCUAGAAGACUCCAGAAGCCAUGGGAACGAACGGGAAGGAAAUCGGGCUCGGAGGCAGGGCGCCCGCCCAAUUCUCCUGGGCGCCCGCCCAGCUACAGUGCCCAAUCAGGACUCUCUUUCGGGACAACGCUCCACCGACCUAAAGGAUCAAGGAAAACCGUGCGAUUAAUGUCGGUUUGAUCCAACGGCCCAUAUUCACUUGAAGGGACUAUAAAACCAGACUCCCUGGCCCCUGGAAAUCAUACCUCUUCUACAGAAUCAAAGCUAGGGUUUCAAUUCUUCAUCCAAGUAGAGAGGAUCCCUCUAGUUCUUCUAGUUCUACCUCUAGUUCAUCUAGAUCUAGUUCUAGUUCAUCUAGUUCUAGUUCUAGUUCCUCUAGUUCUAGUUCUAGUUCUAGUUAGUUCUAGUUGUAAUCUAGAAAAUAGGGAGAGAGAAGAGAAGAGCGGAGGAGGAGCCGGAUCUGUCGGAUCUUCCUCAACAUUAUACUUUUGCAGCAUCUGGUUCGUUCUUCAUCAUUCUCCAGGUUCUUCAAUUCAUAAUUCCUGAGUUCUUUAAUUACUUUUAUUUACAUUCAAGUUAUUUAUUGGAUUCUCGCUUGCAUCAAGUGCUCUAGUCUUUAUAACGCUAGAGUAGUAAUUAAUAGAUUAGACGUGGUGUUUAGUCUUGCAAUUACCUGGAAUUGCACCCAAUCCUGCGGAUUGUUGUGGUAGCCUUAGGGUAGUGACAGCCCUAACGGUCGACGUAUUCCACCACGUUCGGAUCGGUGUUUGUAGGACCGUAGUCAGACCUUCCUAGCCCCCUUCUCAUCUCUUUCUGUGGUUAGUGCUCUGAUGUCCCGAUAUAGAUAAUCUUGAAGUAAUUCUUGAUUCUUAGAUCAACUAGAGAACUCUCAGGAAACUUCCUCUCUUCCCACCAAAAAUAAUGAUACAGUUAUCCUUGGGCGAUCUUGGAUCUUAAUUAGUACACUCACGUUCCCUGUGGAAAAUCGAUACUCUGGAAUACUCCCGGGUGAAAGCUACAUCGGUAUCCGUGCGCUUGCGGAUUUUUCUGUUUGUGUUUAAAAUACCCAACAACGAAUACAAGGACACUUGAAACUAAGGGUACAUGUGAACCUAACGGCAUGUCUAAAGCAUUGAUUACCACUUGAGGAGAACAAGUGUGGCCCGAUAUUCCGAAAGUUUCUGGUAACUAUCGAUUUGGUGGAAACGAGAGACAUAUCAAUCCAGUUUGCGAACAACACAAUUUGAAACCCUACAAUUCUUUUUUUUUGAUAUUUUUCUUUUACUUAGGAGCACUCAAGAAGUAACCACAGGAAAUUUGAGCUUAAACAAGUGAAAGACGUGGCCUGUGGAAAUUUUUGAAAAUUGUGAAAAAUAUGAAAAAAAACUUUAGGAGGUGAAAACUCAAACUUCAGAGGCAAAUUUGGGGAUUCUAAAAUUGUCGAACCCGCCGUUGGCGGGGAUAGACAGAUACAAAAAUUGUUUCUAAUCGAUUUGAUUUUGAUAUAUAGAACGUCAAAAUUGGAGUUCGUAUGCGAAAGUUAUGGCUGUUUUACGAACGGACUAUGAAUUAGAGGACAAAAUGGUCCGGAAGUGGGAAAAAAUUGCGGUGGUGGCUAGAAAUUGAUGGAAACAGUGGGAAAAAACACACAAACUGGAAUGUAACAAGACCUAACCAGUAACAAGACCUCGACCAGGACACAAACUCAACACUAGGGACUCUGAAACUGAAAUAUGCAAAAUCUAUGGCGCGGAUGGGUUGUAGGACAUGAAAACAAUAUGGCAAUAGACUUAUGGGACGAACACAAGGACACUUCAAACUAAGGGUAGAUGUGAACCUAACGAUAUGUCUGAAGCUUUGAUUACCACUUCAGGAGAACAAGUGUGGCCCGAUCUUCCGAAACUUUCUGGUAACUAUCGAUUUGGUGGAAACGAGAGACAUAUCAAUCCAGCUUGCGAACAACACAAUUCGAAACCCUGCAAUUCUUUUUAUUUUUUUGAUAUUUUUCUUUUACUAAGGAGCACUCAAGAAGUAACCACAGGAAAUUUGAGCUUAAACAAGUGAAAGACGUGGCUUGUGGAAUUUUUUGAAGAUUGUGAAAAAUUUGAAAAAAAUUUAGGAGGUGAAAACUCAAACUUCAGAGGCGAAUUUGGGGAUUCUAAAAUUGUCGAACCCGCCGUUGGCGGGAUAGACAGAUCUAAAAAAAAUUUCUGAUCGAUUUUGAUAUAUGGAACGUCAAAAUUGGAGUUCGUAUGCGAAAGUUAUGGCUGUUUUACGAACGGACUCUGAAUUAGAGGACAAAACGGUCCGGAAGUGGGAAAAAAUUGCGGUGGUGGCUA
Molecule: long non-coding RNA, 14142 nt
Filed under: Sorghum bicolor (sorghum)
Lineage: Eukaryota; Viridiplantae; Streptophyta; Magnoliopsida; Poales; Poaceae
Description: long non-coding RNA (SBIC_LNC010535)
Source: RNAcentral